UACGGAGGGAGCUAGCGUUGUUCGGAAUUACUGGGCGUAAAGCGCACGUAGGCGGCUUUGUAAGUUAGAGGUGAAAGCCCGGGGCUCAACUCCGGAACUGCCUUUAAGACUGCAUCGCUUGAACCCAGGAGAGGUGAGUGGAAUUCCGAGUGUAGAGGUGAAAUUCGUAGAUAUUCGGAAGAACACCAGUGGCGAAGGCGGCUCACUGGACUGGUAUUGACGCUGAGGUGCGAAAGCGUGGGGAGCAAACAGG
RNAcentral lists this ribosomal RNA (253 nucleotides) under uncultured bacterium. RNAcentral's name for it is "partial 16S ribosomal RNA". It matches the Rfam family "Bacterial small subunit ribosomal RNA", at positions 524 to 776 of the family's 1533-position model. The record is from RNAcentral.